Molecule: ribosomal RNA, 1608 nt
Filed under: Triticum aestivum (bread wheat)
Lineage: Eukaryota; Viridiplantae; Streptophyta; Magnoliopsida; Poales; Poaceae
Description: partial small subunit ribosomal RNA
Source: RNAcentral
AUGGCGGGGUCAGCUCGCCGGCGCGCGCUCCUCCUGCUCCUCCUCGCGUCCUCCUUGUGCGCCUGCUCGGGGGCGGAGCCGCUGGCCGCUGAGCGGACGCGCCGGAAGGACCCCCUGGACGGGCUCCGGCCCUACGCCGGCGGCUGGAACAUCAGCGACAGGCACUACAUCGCCUCGGUGGCCUUCAGCGCGGCGCCGGUGUUCGCGGCCGCGGCGGUCUGGCUCGUCGGCUUCGCCCUGGCGGCGCUCGUGGCCUGCUGCUGCCGGUGCUGCCGCGGCAGCCCCACCAGGGACGACGACUACUCCUACUCGCGCGGGACCUUCGCCGCCUCCCUCCUCCUCCUCCUCGCCUUCACCGCCGCCGCCAUCAUCGGGUGCGCGGUGCUGUACGACGGGCAGGCCAAGCUGGACGGCAGCACGUCGGCGACGCUGCGCUACGUGGUGCGCCAGUCGGACGGCGCGGCGGCGAGCCUCCGGGGGUUCGCCGGGUUCAUCGAGACGGCCAAGGCGUCCGGCGGCGCCGCCAUGCCGCGCGACCUCGGGGCCAAGGUCGACCAGGUCGCCAGCAGGGUGGGCGCCGCGGCCGACGAGCUCGCCGCGCGCACCGCCAGCAACGCCCGCAAGAUCCGGACCGUGCUCGACACCACAAGGAAGAUCCUGAUCGGCGUCUCGGCCGUGAUGCUGGUGCUGGCGUUCCUGGGCCUCGUGUUCUCGUUGGCUGGCCUGAGCUCAGUCGUUCGCUUCCUAGUGUUACUGGGAUGGAUCCUCGUUACCGCAACAUUUAUAUUGGGCGGCGUUUUCCUUCUCUUGCACAACGCGGUCGGGGACACGUGCGUGGCCAUGGAGGAAUGGGUGCUCCGCCCGCCGGGCAGCAGCAACAGCACCGCCCUGGACGACAUCCUCCCGUGCGCCGACGCGGCGGCGACCUCGGAGGCGCUGCGCCGGAGCAAGGAGGUGAACCACCAGCUGGUGGCCACCCUCAACGACGUGCUCGCCAACGUCUCCAACGCCAACACCUUCCCGCCGGGCGCCGGCCCGCCCCUCAACUACAACCAGUCCGGCCCGCCGGUGCCGCUGCUCUGCAGCCCCUACCGCGCCGACCUCUCCGACCGCCCCUGCGCCGCCGGCGAGGUGCCGGCCGCCUUCGCGCCGCAGGCGUGGCGGGGCCACGUGUGCCAGGCGGCGGGCGCGCCGGGGCAGGAGACGUGCGCGACGCCCGGGCGGCUCACGCCGUCGAUGUACGCCCAGGCGCUGGCGGUGGCGAACGCCAGCGCGGGGCUGGUGGGCUACGGGCCGGCGCUCGCGGGGCUGGCGGACUGCACGUUCGUGCGGCGGACGUUCGAGGCCGUGGUCGCCGACGGCUGCCCCGGGCUGCGGCGGCACAGCGGCCGGGUGUACCGGGCGCUGGCGGCCGUGGCCGUGGCGGUGGCCGCGGCCGUGGCGGCGUGGGUGGUGCACACCAGGGAGCGGCGGCGGCGGCGCGAGGCCGUGCGGUUCCGGGUGUCGCCGUACCGGCUCCCCAUCGAGGACAAGUCGCUGCUCAAGAGCCCCCGCCGGCCCUACCGGCGCGCCGAGAGCGGCGGGCUCAUCGGCAAAGGCGGCUGGUGA